Molecule: ribosomal RNA, 603 nt
Filed under: Lamprospora sp.
Lineage: Eukaryota; Fungi; Ascomycota; Pezizomycetes; Pezizales; Pyronemataceae
Description: partial large subunit ribosomal RNA
Source: RNAcentral
CUGCGAGUGAAGCGGCAAAAGCUCAAAUUUGAAAUCUAACGUUCAUUCUGACGUUCGAGUUGUAAUUUGGAGGAGCGCCUUCGGGAACCUGACGCCGUUCUAAGUUCUUUUGGAACUGGACAUCACAGAGGGUGAGAAUCCCGUGCCUGGGCGGCAGUCUGGUUCCCACACGAAGCGUUUCCGACGAGUCGAGUUGUUUGGGAAUGCAGCUCAAAAUGGGUGGUAAAUUUCAUCUAAAGCUAAAUACAGGCGAGAGACCGAUAGCGCACAAGUAGAGUGAUCGAAAGAUGAAAAGCACUUUGAAAAGAGAGUUAAACAGUACGUGAAAUUGUUGAAAGGGAAGCGCUUGAGAUUGAACGUUGUGGAUAGGGUGGAGCGGUUUCGAGGGGCUUUUUGCUCUUUGUGACCUUCCCUUCAUCCUCCCUCCAACCAMCAUCGGUUCCGGCGGCGAGAAAANCGGCUGGGAAAUGUGGCUCCUCUCGGGGAGUGUUUAUAGACCCUUUCGAUUUGCGCCAGCUGGGACCGAGGCAACUAGCGAGGCUGGGGUUUUUACCCCAUGCCCUCAAGGAUGUGUGGCAUGUCGAUCUUAAGCGACCCGUCUUG